RNAcentral lists this ribosomal RNA (206 nucleotides) under uncultured bacterium. RNAcentral describes it as "partial 16S ribosomal RNA". It matches the Rfam family "Bacterial small subunit ribosomal RNA", at positions 1295 to 1500 of the family's 1533-position model. The record is from RNAcentral.
GGAUUGUGGGCUGCAACCCGCCCACAUGAAGUCGGAGUUGCUAGUAAUCGCGGAUCAGCAUGCCGCGGUGAAUACGUUCCCGGGCCUUGUACACACCGCCCGUCACACCAUGGGAGUUGGGAGUGCCCAAAGCCGGUGAGGCAACCUUCGGGAGCCAGCCGUCUAAGGCAAGACCAAUGACUGGGGUGAAGUCGUAACAAGGUAUC